Molecule: RNA transcript, 6115 nt
Organism: Nilaparvata lugens (brown planthopper)
Lineage: Eukaryota; Metazoa; Arthropoda; Insecta; Hemiptera; Delphacidae
Exons: 7
Source: RefSeq, a predicted model, not a curated record
UUUUUGAAAAGAUCUAAGAAGCCCAAACAUUUUUAAAAAUGCAAAUUGGAUAGGAAAACUCCAACAAACACUUGUCCGUGGGGAGCAACGGACGGGCCAACAGGCACCCAGUAUGCAGUAUCGAAUGUUCUACUGUCGAUAGCUUGAUACUAUCGUUUAUUAAAUGUGCUACAAUCGAUAAUAGAACAAAGAAGGAAAGAAGACUAUAAGAAAUUCGAUAUUCGUACCGCUGUUCAAUACUCGAUUCUAUAACAGGGUUUUGCUUUUUUUCAUUUUUUGAAAAUGCUAUUGUUGUAUUGUAAUUUCUAACCUAAAAGCUAAACCAUAAUUACUUGAAGACUCAUCAUUAGGUCAUUAAAAUUGCAAAUAAAUAAAAAUAUUUUGCAAUUUUCCAUUAAAAUACUGAUUAAUUAAAAAUAAGUUUUAAAAAUAAUAAGAUUCACUGAGAUUUACAUCAUACAUUUAGAGUCGCAGUAUCUUCAAAGUGAUGGACCGCAUGAUGUACUUUUGCCAAGUGUUUCAAAAUUUCCAUAUCACCAAUUAAAGUUGAUAUUGUGUGGCACAAAAGUGAUGCAUCCACCUAUCAUCUGUUUUUAGCCAUCAUAAAUGAACAUAUUGAUUUCUUGCACAUCAUGAACGAGAGUGGAAUGCCAGGACCUCGCCGAUUUUUCAUGUAGCCGAGUUGCAAUCCUGGCUUUUUCUCCCGAUUCAUCUACCAUUGAAGACUCUCAAGUUUAUCACUUUCAUCACGAGCAAUUUCAAGAAGAAUAAUUCUCUCGAGGUAACACUGAUGCGGCAACAUAAGUGCUAACUACAGCUACAUGUCAUGAUUAGCAAUUCAAGUAAAAUGGCACCCCAUCACGUAUGUGAGCUAUGUGAGAAGACGUUUGCAACGGCUUUCACUCUUCGGAGACAUUGCAUCCGAAAGCAUGCUUCAGUUUUUCCUCGUCGUCAGCUUCCUCGUUUUUCAUAUAAAUGUGGCAUAUGUAGUAAGGAUAUAGGUAGCAGCUCAUUCCCGAGAUUUGUAUAUCAUUUAAAUGAAAAUCAUGACAUUACAGUAGAAAGAGAAGAACUUGAGUUCAAUUGCCAAGAAGAUUUUGAAAUUUGGAGAAAGUCUGUAGAAAAAAGAAGUUAUUUUGUAAAAUAUCGACAAAACUACAUUAUGGACAGCAGCAAUGCUGUAAAGUCAUAUUUCCGUUGCAAUCGAUCUGGCAUCUAUAAGGGCGAGACUUCGCCUACAAAGAGGAAACGCCACUUGAAAAGUCAGGGGUCAUCAAAAAUAGGCUCCUUUUGUCCUGCUGGAAUUCGAGCCACAACUUAUAAGAAUGGCAAAAUAUCUGUUGAAUUCAUAAAGACUCAUGUUGGACAUGAUUUGGAGCUUGCACAUAUCCCACUUCCAAUUGAGGACAAACAGCAAUUAGCUUCUAAAAUUGCUCAAAAAAUUCCAUUUGAUACAAUUAUUGAUGAUUUACAUGCAUCAGUGGGUGAUGAACUAGAAAGAAAGCAUCUUGUAACAAAGGAAGUCCUGCGAAACAUUAUUAAAGAAUACUCGCUAGACAAAGAAUGUGUUAGGCAUCCAGAUGAUACUUUGAGCAUUGAAGCGUGGGUUGAAAAGAUGAAGGGUAGUGAAAAUAAUUGCAUCAUACUGUAUAAGCCUUGUGGAAUUGUGUCCCCUGAUCUACCUCAACUGAAAAAGCAAGACUUUGUGUUGGGUAUAAUGACCGAAGCACAUUCAGAAAAGCUGAAAAAGUAUGGAGGAGAUUUCAUAUGCAUUGCUUCUAACCAUGGAACAAAUGCCUAUCAAUUUGAGAUGUCUACCAUUCUUGUACUAGAUGACCUACGGCAAGGAUUUCCCUGUGCAUUUUAUUUUUCCAAUAGGAAUGAUAAUUUAGGAUUUGAAUUAUUCCUUAGCAAUGUCAGGAACCGGAUUGGAAUGAUAAAUACGAGAACGUUAAUGACUGAUAUGCCAGAUGUUUUUUAUAACUCAUGGCAAAAUGUGAUGGGUUUAGUAGAACAAAGACUGUACAGCACGUGGCAUGUGCAAAAGGAAUGGCAAAAGAGAAUCAAUACUUUCAAGAAUAAGACUAAGAAAGAGGAAGUUUCAAAGAAACUAUUCUCUCUGCACUUCGAGAAAGAUGAAAGAACUUUUGAAAUGACACUUUCAGCUACAAUUAAUGACUUGAAAAGCGAUAAAGACACUUUUACAUUUUCCAAAUACUUUGAAGAACACUUUUUGAAAAAUCCUCAAUUAUGGGCUUACUGCUACAGAAAAAAUGUAGGGUUCAACACCAAUAUGCAUCUAGAGAGACUUCAUGGCAUAUUCAAAAAAUAUAUUUGAAAGGAAAAAUGGCCAAAAUAUUGGAUGUAACUGUGCAUGCGCUAAUGCGACUUAUUGAGCGCAAACUCUUCGAUCGUUUGAUCAUAAUGCCUAAAGGUAAGGCAACAAGCAACAUUGAAAACUCUAGAGAUUGCCACACAGAGUCGCUGUCACUUUCACUCGAUCAGACAGAGGAUGAUUCCGAUGAUGAGCAGUUAUCAGUCAUCAGUCAAAAAUCAACAGAUACCGAUCAUUCAAAUUCAAAUGAAGCUGUGGAGGAAGAAUUCAUUACAUCAGCGUCGAAGAAACCGAAAUUGGAUAAUGAUGAAGUUGAAGCAGGUAUAAGAGAGCUCCAAAAUUGUUUCGAUGACCUCCUGAAUCAAUGUCGUGAUAAUAAGGAGUUGAUCGAUUCGUUGAACAAUUAUUUAAAAAUGUGGGAUCCCAAUAUUGUAUUUUGAAAAAAUAAGACGUUAGCAUUCCCAGAGAAAGAGAAUACAAAUAUAGAGGCACCACAGAGUUCACAGAUUUUCUAUGGUAUUGCCAUUAGAGGGAACAAUAGUGCCAGUCAGUCAACUCCAUACUUCAUUUCAAAAAUCUUUAUUCUGUUUGCUACAUUGGUUUCCAAUCCAAUAGUAGUUUUCUACAUUCUCUAUUGCGUUGCCAUAAUCACAAACAAGUUAAUAACAUACAUAUUUGCUUGACUAUUAAUUUUGUAUUCUUUUUUUUGAUUUCAUAAUAACAUCAUUUCUUACCGUACAAUAAAUAAUCAAAAUCAGUUGAUUUAUAUGCCCGUAUUGCAUUAGUACACGAGGGAAGGACAUCAGAGGUGUUGGUGAUUGAAGCAAGCUGGGACACCCAAACCCACACACCAAUUCUACCAAUAAUAUUGAGCCACGCCCCGUUAAAAUUUGACGCUCUAAACUAGGCGCAGUGUCUAGUAAGGACUAGUCAAGGACCUGGUAAGGACUUUUUCACAUCCACAGUACAGCGGUAUAGAAUCUAUACUCUAUUAAAUGACGCUGCCAACCAUCGAUAGCUAUCCACUAGUUUCACGUUUCUGGUUCAUUUGCAUGUUCCACUGAUGUCUGUCUGGUCCUCGUGGUUCAUCCUCUCAUAUCUAGUUUCUGUGUAAAAGUACGUGCCUGUGAAGUGUGAACACAGUGAACGGUUUUAUUAUUACACCUAAUGUGUCCAUUAUGAUUUCUUUAAAUUAAAGUCAAGAAAAAAUUGAGAACACACGAAAGCGAGAUUACUAUGAUUGUGAGAUUGAAGUUUUUUUAUUUUAUUGGGUGAAAACUUAUAACAUGUAACCUUGGAUCAUUGCAUCAUUGUUAGAUGCAAUUUGACUAUGAUGCCUAAAAUUUUAGAGUUUUACAAAGGCCUGCAAAACUUAAUCAUUCUAUGAUUAUCAAUUAUAUAACUAUUUCUAAGAGUAAGCUAUCUAAUAAAAGACUAACAACGUUUGUUUAAGCAUCCUUAGCACUUAUGUUACUGCAUUUAAAUGAAAUAAGACACUUUUUCAGAAGUUGUAUGGUGUAACUAACUUGUGACACUUUUUCAGAAGUUGUAUCGUGUAGCUAACUUGUUUCAAGAGUUAAUCAAAUUGGAAUUAGUUAAUUAUCAAAUAUUGGUUUUAUGAUUAAAUUAUUACUUGAAUACUUGCAGUAUUAGGCCUGAGCCCAAACACUUCAACUCAACAAUUCUACUCAUUUGAUAAAGAAUAAUGUAAUAAAACAUUUUCUGGAUUUGAAAAUUCUUUGGCCAGUUGCAAGAUAAAAUUUAACAGAAUUUUGUGCAACUAGGCCUCAAAUGUUCAAAAUUGAGUCCUUGUUCUUUAAAGCUCUGAUGAUUCAAAGACUCUGUUAUUAAUAAAUAAUCAAGCAUUUAAUAUGGGUUGUCUACAAUAACAUAUCAAUAAUUAAAAAUUUUUAUUCCUUCAGCAUGCAUCAAUUACAAUUUAUUUUAAAAAAAUGCAACUCGUCUAGACAAUAUUUCGUUUGGAUAUGUUAUAUAAUAUCAUAUCAAUAUUCAUUCCUUUACAUCAAUUAUAAAAACUAUGCAGCUUCUUAAGUUUACUUCAAAUUUUACACAUGUAAACAUGCACUAGCAAUAGACUAGGCUUGUGGUGUUGUGUUUGUGGACGAGAGUGGAUAGAAGAUAGCUAUCGAUCAAUAUCGAAGGUUGGCAGUGUCGUUCGACAGAUUAUUGAUUCACUAACGCCGUUCUGUAAAUAUAAAGUCCUCGCCAGUUGACCCAGUCCCUUGAGUCCAGACUGAUUUUCCAAGCUCCAAAAUUACGGUACCAUUCGGACACCGUAACCUAUAAUCAGUUGGGCCAGACACCAAUAUCCAGGACCCGGCUGGUGUCCUUAUUCCUAACAAAACGAGCACAUUAACUAUACUGUGCUGUCUCGCGACACGCUUUUAGCUGCCUGGUGUCCUAAAACUGUAGUACACUGGUCAUAUACUUGAGCUUGGACAAAAUGCUAAAUACGGUACUAGUAGUUGAGUUUUUACCUCGGGCAUUUUUAAUUGCAAGGUUGAUAACUAUGUAUGGUACUCUCUCAUAUGGGUUAAAAAUACGAUGGAGUGGGUGAAGGUACACUACACAUAGCUACUAUAUUUUUAUAGGUAACGUACACGUCUACUAUCUUGAGAGUACCCAAGGUAGCUAGAAUACAUUUUAGGUAUUUUAGAAUGUAUUUCAGAUAUAUUGAGAGUACCGUACCUAAUCAUUUUUAUUAAUCAGUUGAUUGAUGAGUAUCAAUAUUAUAGUAAUCAGCCGCUAAUUUUUCAGCCGAAUAUUAUCCGAAUGUAGAUAAUAAGCUGAAGAAGAACAGCUGCUAACCUCUAAUACCGGUAGCACUCCUCUUUGGAGUCCACAAAAAUCUCAAAUCGAAAUUAUUUGUUGUUUUUAUAAUUUAGUCUCAGAAAAUUCAAAUUAUGUAUAGAAGUUUAAUUUUUAGGCAUUUUCUUUCAUCAACAAAUAAGCAACACAUUUUUAGGUAUGUAAUACAAUCUCCAACUGAAAUGUAUGAGUUCUCUUUACUUUCAUCACAUCUUCAAAGCAGACCUUUAUUUUCAUGGUUAAAAUUGCAGUGGCGAAUAGCAUCUUUGAAGAAUAAGUGGGACCAUGAAUUUGAUAAGGAAGAGUUCCUAACAGGUACUAAUCAGGCGGUAGUCACUAUAACUAAUAAGAUCCAAAAAAACGACUUUGAAAAUUUGAAAGGUCUUAUAGAAGAGGAAGCCUUAUCUAAAUUGAAAUUGGAAUCGAUUAUGACAUGGCCUGCAUUACUUAAAAAUAAUGUAGGCAUCCAUCACAGGCAUAUAAUGUCAACAAAGCUCAUUGACCUAAGGAAAACUUUACAGAAGCAGGAGGAUAAACCUGGACUGGAAAGAAGACUUUGUGAAAUAGAUGUGCUGACCCUUGCGAUGAAGAAGAUAUUACUCAAAGAGCGUACUCAUGGUCUUCUAUUAUUCAAUGUUUACACAAGUUUUUUCAGAGAUUUUUCUCCGGAAAUAGUACCAGAAUGGACCGUUAAUUCAUUUGGAAUCACCGCAGUUGUUAUACCACCUCAGCCUGGAUUGGACAUUCCACAAGAUAAAUAACAUUUAAAUACAACAAGCAAAAAAUACAUCGAAUACAGUCGAAUUAACUUGUAUGUUAACAAUUAUUUUUUCAAAAACUUGACGCAAAUAAAAGAAAAAAUAAAAUGUACUUUGUUGCAUAUGAAUAAAAAUGUUUACUUUUUAUACAAACCUCGGUGUAAAACCAGAGAAUACCUAUAGAAUGUAAUAG